AUAAAGGUAGGUUACAAAAACCCCCGAAUUGUGGUUCCGGAAACGUCAAAAGACCCUUUUUC
This 62-nucleotide transfer RNA is filed under the name Lumbricus terrestris (common earthworm). RNAcentral describes it as "tRNA-His". The record is from RNAcentral. Lineage: Eukaryota; Metazoa; Annelida; Clitellata; Crassiclitellata; Lumbricidae.